UGCGUAGGCGGGAUAUUAAGUCAGUGGUGAAAUCUUACCGCUUAACGGUGAAAUUGCCAUUGAAACUGAUAUUCUUGAGUGUAGUUGAGGUGGGCGGAAUGUGUAGUGUAGCGGUGAAAUGCUUAGAUAUUACACAGAACGCCGAUUGCGAAGGCAGCUCACUAAACUAUCACUGACGCUGAUGCACGAAAGCGUGGGGAGCGAACAGGAUUAGAUACCCUGGUAGUCC
RNAcentral lists this ribosomal RNA (229 nucleotides) under uncultured bacterium. Its description in RNAcentral is "partial 16S ribosomal RNA". It matches the Rfam family "Bacterial small subunit ribosomal RNA", at positions 568 to 796 of the family's 1533-position model. The record is from RNAcentral.